CGACGCGCACCGUCAGCAGGCGUGCGGCUGGCGGCAGCGGCGUGGACAGCGUGGUGGCAGCAGCCACCUGCACUCCGGCCUCUUCCCUUCACGCAGGGACCGGGCAGCUUUUCCCAAUCAACCGCUUCCCAGUCCAGCCGGCAGGGGAGGCGGGUAGCGUCCCAACAAAGGGAAAAUCCUCUCGCCGCCCCCGCCAUUGGCCCGUUAGCCCGUUAGCCCGUUAGCCGGCUUGGGCUCUUUGCGACCGUGAGCAGAACCAACCCCCCCCCCCCCCGUGACCUUGACCCACCUGUUGCUGUGAGGCUGGCGGCAGAGGGCGCUGGGGCCGGAAACCUCACACUCAGGCCCAGGUUUGCCCGGGACCCCGGGGUCUUUGUCUCCAGGUCCCUGAACCGCUACUGCCUCCAACUCCCACUCUCGGUCAGACCCCCGAGCAGCCUCAGGGUCCUGCCUGCAGGGUGGUCCCUUGCGGCCGGCACUGCCUGCCUGGACCUCCACGCCUUUGCUGGGCUCCUCCUCCGGACGCGGCUUCCGUGGGCCACUGCAGACACCCUUCGGGGCCCUUUCUGCUGGUUCUUGCUCUGGCUUCCUCGGGAGGCGAUUCUGAAGUCCCUCCCCAGUGAAGCCGUCGAUGUCACUGUCGGCGCUGUCACCCUGCUCAUCCCGACCUCUAGGCCUCACGCUCUCGGAGCCAGGCGCUGGUCCACGCUUCGUCUCAGAGCUGCUCUCGCUGCGCCCUUCCAGGGCGCUGUGCACAGGAGACCCUGGGCGGGACGCUGGCUCUCGGGAACCCUCCAGGGACACAGCCAGGGAGUCCCCUCUUCGCCACCAUCCUGUGCUCUGGGGCUCUCCGACCUGCUGGGGGAGCUUCGGCCGCCUCCCGCGAUGUUGCAGGGAGGGGCUGAGUGGCUGCUGCCGGGCAGGGUCCGCCUCGGUGUUCCCGGCGCCCUCCUGCUGUGUGAUCAUGGUCCUCCGGAUGCCCCCGGUCCUCCAGAACUCUUCCCUCAUGGGACUGAGGGCCUCAGGCGCAUCUGCAUUGCUCUCGUCCCCGGGGUCCUCCAUCCCUGUGUAAAAGGCAAUCACACCGUGACCACAGACCCCUGAGUGCCUCCUCAUGCCCAGGAGCCGGCACCCGCUGGAGGGAAAUAUGAAGGGCACUGAAAUAAAACAGGCUCCUUCUCACAAAGGUGCAGCUGUCCAUAAACCGCGGGCUUCUGACCUCCUCUCCUAAGCUGCGGUUGAGACGACUCUAGGGGACUCCUGAACUUCAGUACACAGCAAAUGCUCGGCAGAAAACUCUCCGGCCUCCAACGCCAUGUACAGUGUCCCGGCUUACACGCUUAGGACCUGCCUGGCCUACCCAAGGGAAGAAGUAAGGAAGGAAGCAGCAGGCCAAACAGGGACUGCACUUUACCUGCCCAGCACUGAGCAUGGAGACCAGGUCCUGGAACCCCGAACACAACACGAACCGAAUGAAGAAGCCGCUUGGUGCCCGCAGUGGCGAGGCCUCAGCUCUCCACAGUCAGUCACCACUCACAAGCGAGAGGACAGAGUUUCUCCUGUGGAGAGCUCCUGCAGGGAGAGAAGGACCUGCUACCGAUCCUAGGCAACACCAACAGUGACAAAUAAAAGGAGGUACCAAGCUUUCCAAGUUCUCCGUUAUUCCAGUGAUGGACACACAUCCAGGAGGUCUGGGAAUGGCCCGCAGGGUCUUUCCAGGACUCUGGCCAAUGGGAGACACGCCUGGUGCACUCAAGAGG
Molecule: long non-coding RNA, 1760 nt
Filed under: Heterocephalus glaber (naked mole-rat)
Lineage: Eukaryota; Metazoa; Chordata; Mammalia; Rodentia; Bathyergidae
Description: lncRNA (ENSHGLG00100041939.1)
Source: RNAcentral